Molecule: ribosomal RNA, 648 nt
Filed under: Saccharomyces cerevisiae (brewer's yeast)
Lineage: Eukaryota; Fungi; Ascomycota; Saccharomycetes; Saccharomycetales; Saccharomycetaceae
Source: RNAcentral
UCCCGUAUACUUACGGGAGGGGGUCCCUCACUCCUUUUGAGACUUUAAUUUUAUAAAUAUAAAUAUAAAUAUAAUAAGAUGUUAACUCUUUUAUAAAUAAAUAAUAAAUAUAAUUCUAUUUUUAAUAAUAAUAUAUAAUAUUUUUAUAAUAAAAUAUAUAAAUAAUAAUAUUUAUAUAUAUAUAUAUACUUUUUUUUUAUAUAAGAAUAAUAUAUAUAGUCCACAUUGGAGGCGAGUGAAAGGAGAUAAGAAAUAUAAUAUAAUAAUAAAAAUAUAAUGAAUAAUAAUAAUAAAAAUUUAUAUAAUAACAAAAUAGUCCGGCCCGCCCCCCGCGGGGGGGAGGCGGACCCCGAAGGAGUCGGAGUCCGACCGAAGGAGAUGAGAUUAUUAAUAUUAUUAAAUAAUAAAAUGUAUUAAUUAUAAAAUAUAAAACCUAUAAAUAAUUUAUAAUAUAAUUUAUAUUAUGAUAAUAAUAAUAUAUAUAUUAUAAUAUUUUAUAUAUAUAUUUAUUAUAUUUAUAUAAAAAAAGUGAUAUUGAUUAAUUUAAUUAAUUUAUAAUUAAUAAUUAUUAAUAUAGUCCGGCCCGCCCCCCCCGCGGGGCGGACCCCGAAGGAGUCCGGCCGAAGGAGUGAGGGACCCCUCCCUAUU